UAGCAAUAACACAUUUGCUGAGUGGAGACAAUAGCAAUACCCCCGGGGGUGGGGGGUGGAGGUAAGAAUGAAAUGGACAAUGCACGUGAAAUGUACGGCUCUUUCUAACGUCCGCUGGUCAUCACCAGCAUCCCCGAGAGAGAGAGAUCCAGCAUCUCACCUCCUCCACACCACCACCUGCCCCCUCCGUGAUAGGGUAAGACUGAAGCUCAGGCGGUUGGAGGACUGGUCCAAGGUCACAUGGCUGCUGAGAAACUAGGCAGCUGGCCUCGUGAAUGAAUGAAGGAAGGAAGGACCGAAGGGACGAAAGGUUGAGUGAGUGAAGAGCGCGGGAAAGAAGGACCUCCGAGGGCCAAGGGCGGGGCGACACCCCUUGUUCCCUCUCCCGCCCCCCCCCCCCACGGCCUUGGCUGGCUCGCGCGCACAGUGGGGGCAGGGCCAGCCAAGGUAGAUGACGAGGCCGCAGCUGGUUUAGUUUAAGAGGCUCCGGCAGGGAGGGAAGGGGGCGAGUAUACAGGGGGCGUCCAGACCCCGCGGAGGAAGUGACUCACUCAGAAAACGCCACCGCCGACAACCCCCCUAGCAGCCGGAGGGAGGGAGGGGCGGGGCCUGGCCGGCCACGCCCCUGCCAGACGCGGGGCGGGACCCUCGGGCUCCAAGCCGCCUGCCCCCGCCCCCCAUCCGCACCCCCUCACCUCUUGGCUUCGGGGGCCACCUCGCCCCGCACUCUGAGGCACUCGCCAGGUUUGAGAUUCAGGUUGCUGGCGACCAGACCCUGCAAAGACGAGACCACACCAGCCGGACGGGGCCACUGAGGCCCAGAAGAAAGAAGGCCCUUGUUCAAAGCCACACCCUGGGGACUAGAACCCAGAUCAUCUGCGCCUACUCUCCUCUGUCUGCCCCCACGCCAUCCCUGGGCCUUGGAGCGGGGUCCCCGCACUCACGCAAGCCAUGAUUGAGGACAGGAGGAUGUUCCUGCGGACUGCGGCACCAGCGGUCUCAAGACUCUAGGAGAGAGAUGGGCCCCCGGGGCCGCUCCCACCCUUUUAACUGGACCAGACUCCGGUGAGUCCCGCCCCCCCUGGGCGCCCAACCAAUUGUAAGUCAGGACAGAGAAGGGGGCCCCACCGGAGGCGGAGUCAAUGGAAUUUUGAAGCCCUUCGGGAGCAGAGGUGACCAAUCGGAGCGGUAGCACACUGCUGGGGCCGGACCUGGCCAUGAACCUGAGUAAGUAGCAUGUUGCUGGCCCUAAGGGGAGUCAUGAACAAGCACCGUGGUGCCGAGGAGACUGUCCAGAGUGUGAAGAAGGUGGGUUUUGAAGGACGGAUGAAGAAGGAGGGCCUGGCUUUCCAGCGUGAGCAAAGGCGCAGACCGGAACAGUGAACAUCUGGGCAUGGCUGGAGUUUGGGGUAUGUUGGGGAAAGAUGGGGCACGGGGCCGGGAGGCCAACAGUACGUGGAUCAUGAAGGGCCUCUUUAAGGGGCUUGGCCAUGGUUUUAACUGAGGGUGCUGGGGAGCCAUAGAAGGUUAUAGGGAAGGUGAGUAUUGAGGACAGACACGAGUUACAGGGAAGAUCGCUGCAGCAAGAGUUGAGGGUGGAUUGGAGGGGUGCUCACCUCAUACCCAGGAGCCAGGAGGAGAGAGGGGGAUGGGGAGCACUAGGCAAGGUGGGUCACUUACUCGGAGAGUUGUCAUUGGGACCUCCUUCCCCGCAUUGCCAUCUCCCUUCUGAAAUUGCCAGCACCGAAGAUGUGGACCAGGAGGGACUCACAUCUGGAGGCCAGGCCCUCCGCUGCCCCCCCCUCCACCCCACCUUCCUCCGGAUGACUGAAGCCCACCCCUGGCACAGGAGGAGUGGGAAGGGGGGGGCUCAUUGGGCCUCGAUGCAGGCCGCCCCCUGUCUGAGCCCAUCACCCCUCGGAGCCCAAGCCUCCGAAACCAACCACAGCUGUUUCAGUUUUUCCUCCAGGGCCUCUCCUAAACCUCAACGCAGGGAGGGGGUGGGCGGAGCCAGCUCCGAGGCCUUUCCUGUGUGCUUCCCCUCCAAGGGCCACGGACACCCUCCGCCUGAUCAAGCAAUAGGGGCAUUUGAGGAGUCCUGGACCGAGGAGCAGAGGUGGUUCCGGCACAGUCCUUUCCUGGCUGCGUCGCGUGGGUCUGGCUGGCUGUCCCAGCCCAGCAGGUGGGCUCCCAGGGCAUCAAGAGCUGCUUCCCCCAAGUUGGAAGACAGGCCCAGCACCACGAAGCGUUUGCUGUUGGACGAGGGGCUGCUUUAUUCUCCAGGGUCUGGCCAGCUGAGGGCUGGUAGAGAAUUGGCAUGGCGUGGGGAACAGGCCUCCAGAAAGGCCCCUCUGGGAGUCUGGGGAGUUGGAAUCCGGUCCCAGCCCUGCCACGCCGUCCCCAAGGGCAUCCUGGCAAAUCAGUCUGCCCAUCUGUAAACUGGGGAGGUUAAACCUGCUCUCCUACCCAAGGUUGCUACGGGGUGGAAUUCAUGUCUGUUGCACUAAAUAGGUGAUUCCCCCCACCCCCCCCCUCCCCCCGCAAUCUCAGAAGGUUUUAGCUUCCCUCUUGUCUCUUUCUAGGCUGAGCUUACCUUUCUGGGGUCAACGCCUCUGGGAAGUCUCCCUCUUACCCCCACCUGACCCCCAACAGUCCCUGCCUGCCUAUGCUGGAGCAGGGAGUCUCUCCAGAUUCCAGUGUCCCCUGUAACAGGGGUCAUGGUUUUCCCGGGUGGGGGCAGGGACCACAGGCGCACUCUGUGUGCCGAGCUCCCGCCCAGUCCUCGGGGCCUCCUAGCGAUGGCACCCACUUAUCUGCCCGGCCCUGUGCCCGGCGCCUUGCUUUCAUACAUUAUCUCAUUUCAUCUACACCUCCCCCCUGCCUAAUGCUUGCCAGCUGGGAUGUACCGCACAGGGAAGCCGCUCCGGGCCCUGAAAUGAAUGAAGCUGGUGUCAGAAUCGGGAGAAGGGAGGCGAGUCCUAAUUUGGGGGCUGCCUGGCUGUGACUGCGGCCAAGGACCUUACCCUCGCGGAACCCGUUUCCAGGCCUGGAAAGUGGGAAUGUUAGCAUUCACUGACUGGCUGCAGGAUUACAGAGGUGAUGUGGGGGGGGGGGGGCUCCACAUUAGUUCUCUCUUCUGCACCCUCAAGGCCGAGGCUCCCCACCGGGGGGGCUCUCCUUCUCCCUCACUGCUCUGCAGCAGAGGCAGUGAACUCUCUGGAAUAUUCCCCCAUUCUAACAGGCAGCUCUGCAGGCUGGACCUUGGCCGCUGCUGUUAGAAAUGAGCUGGACAGGGGACCCAGGCCAGCGCGGCCCUUCCCAGCCUGCCGACUCCUGCCCUGUCCUGCCCGCUCCUGCCCUGCCCGUGUGAAGGCAGUCCCUCCUCCAGCCGGCAGUGGCAGGGAGGGCUGCCGGACGCAUUGAAACACCAUCCACACCCCUCAGCCAACCUGACUGGCCCAGCCUGGGGACGGUGGAGGUGACCAGAGCAGGCUCCGAAGUCCUAGAAGUCAGAGCAGGAAACGACCCCAGAGAUUCUGCACCUGAUCUGCUCCCUCAUUUAAGGAUGGAGCAGAAGCCACCCAAAGAGACCGGCUACUUGGCCAAGGUCACACAGGGAGCCAGGGCUGAAGUGACUUCCGUCUAUGGAGCCAAGGAAAGAACGUGAUCCCAGGAUACCUGGACCUCAAAAAGUGAUCUUUUCCGGGGCGCCUGGGUGGCUCAGUCAGUUAAGCGGCCGACUUCGGCUCAGGUCACGAUCUUGCGGGUUUGUGGGUUCGAGCCCCGCGUCGGGCUCUGUGCUGACGGCUCAGAGCCCGGAGCCUGCUUCGGGUUCCGUGUCUCCUUCGCUCUCAGCCCCUCCCCCACUUGUGCUCGGACUCUCUCUCUCAAAACUAAAUAAAUGUAAAAAACAAGUGAUCGUUUCCUCCUGUUCCAUGAAGGGUAGAAGGGACUGUGGCAGGGUGGGGGGAUGCCCCCUAAGCUCAGGCACUCUCCCAGCCCCCACUUACCUUGCCCAUCCGUCUUACCUCCCUGCCUUCCUCUGCUGCCCAGACAGCCACCUCCCCCCACACAGUGGGCUUCUGUCACUUUUGCCUUCCCACCUGGUGUCUGUCCCCCUUCUGAUUACAGGCCCUCACUCGUCUUUGGGGAACUACCUCUCCUCUCCAGGAGGUCUGGGUGGGGUUGAGGCCCUGCCAUUCAUUAGCCCUCUAGGGCUCAGGCGUGAGUCUUUAUUUUUGUAACGUUUUCUUUUGCCAUAAGUAUAGACUCGCAGGAAGCGGAGAGCUCUUUAAGAGCCUAGAAAAUAUUUGAGACCUGAAGAGAAAAAAUGUAUUGGCUCUGGAAUGGUAAAACUGGAAAGCUGAAACGAAUCAACCUUUACUCACGCUUAAAACCUGGUGGUGGUAAAAACGGAAACGUUUGGAAACAAUUUUCUUGGGUUGAAUUUUCUUAUUUCAAAAGUGUGUCCAAGUCUUCCUAGAGGUUGGUCACUCCUACCUUAGAUCCCCAUUGGCCAAAUAAUGUCUCAAACAAACGUAUAAAAAUACUUUGGAAAUGCAUAGCAACCUCCCCGCCCCGCCUUUAUUUAAUGUGGGGCUUACGGAAGGGGGUGCAUUUUAAUGUUUUCUAGAAUAUGCCUGGGGCCUGUGGAUCAGGAGAGUUUUUGGGUGGCAAGUAACAGAAAACUCGACAGAAAUCAUUCUAAAAACUAUAAAAAAAAUGUUUAUUAGAGA
This is a long non-coding RNA of Felis catus (domestic cat), 4736 nucleotides long. RefSeq lists it as uncharacterized. The transcript has 3 exons. NCBI's taxonomy places the organism in Eukaryota, Metazoa, Chordata, Mammalia, Carnivora, Felidae. The record is from RefSeq and is a predicted model, not a curated record.